Molecule: long non-coding RNA, 399 nt
Organism: Quercus lobata
Lineage: Eukaryota; Viridiplantae; Streptophyta; Magnoliopsida; Fagales; Fagaceae
Exons: 3
Source: RefSeq, a predicted model, not a curated record
GUAUAAAGUGUUGGUGGCACGUCUCAUCCAUUCCAAGGGGAUUUAAAGAGAAAUCAAAAUAAGAAUUACUCUCUAGGGACCAACAUCAAAUGAAAUUGAGGACAAUUUUUACACCAACAAUCCAGGACCCUUUGUCAUAAUAGUGACAUCUACUAUUGUGAAAACAUUUAGAGGUAAUAACUUCUUUUAAACAUAUCUUUUAUUUUACAUAAUUAACAUAUUUUUAUUAAAUACAGGGGAACACUAUUUGUCAUCUACAAGUGCAACAAAAGUGUACAUCAAUUUAGAAAUACCUAAAACUGCAACAUUGAUUGAUAGAAAUGUGGAAAAGACUGAAAUUGAAGGCAUUCCUCUACAAUUCAAGCAAGAAAUAUUAGUUGAAAAAAGAAUCACACAAAA